Molecule: ribosomal RNA, 246 nt
Filed under: uncultured bacterium
Lineage: Bacteria
Description: partial 16S ribosomal RNA
Rfam family: Bacterial small subunit ribosomal RNA
Source: RNAcentral
GACCGGCGCACGGGUGCGUAACGCGUAUGUAACUUACCUUUAACUGGAGAAUAGCCCAAAGAAAUUUGGAUUAAUGCUCCAUAGUAAUAGAAUAACACAUGUUGUUUUAUUUAAAGCUCCGGCGGUUAGAGAUAGACAUGCGUCCCAUUAGCUAGUUGGUGAGGUAACGGCUCACCAAGGCUACGAUGGGUAGGGGGCCUGAGAGGGUGAACCCCCACACUGGUACUGAGACACGGACCAGACUCC